This 754-nucleotide ribosomal RNA is filed under the name uncultured Prevotella sp. RNAcentral's name for it is "bacterial SSU rRNA". It matches the Rfam family "Bacterial small subunit ribosomal RNA", at positions 28 to 776 of the family's 1533-position model. The record is from RNAcentral. Lineage: Bacteria; Pseudomonadati; Bacteroidota; Bacteroidia; Bacteroidales; Prevotellaceae.
GACGAACGCUAGCGGCAGGCCUAACACAUGCAAGUCGAGGGAGAGGUUAUCUUCGGGUAACCAAAACCGGCGCACGGGUGCGUAACGCGUAUACAAUCUGCCUUUCACAUAGGGAUAGCCCGAAGAAAUUUGGAUUAAUACCUAAUGGUAUAUAAGAGCGGCAUCGUUUUUAUAUUAAAGCUACGGUGGUGAAAGAUGAGUAUGCGUUCUAUUAGCUAGUUGGAGAGGUAACGGCUCCCCAAGGCGACGAUAGAUAGGGGUUCUGAGAGGGAUGUCCCCCACACUGGUACUGAGAUACGGACCAGACUCCUACGGGAGGCAGCAGUGAGGAAUAUUGGACAAUGGGCGAAAGCCUGAUCCAGCCAUGCCGCGUGCAGGAUGAAGGCCUUCGGGUUGUAAACUGCUUUUGUACGGAACGAAACGGCCUUUUCUAAUAAAGAGGGCUAAUGACGGUACCGUAAGAAUAAGCACCGGCUAACUACGUGCCAGCAGCCGCGGUAAUACGUAGGGUGCAAGCGUUAAUCGGAAUUACUGGGCGUAAAGCGUGCGCAGGCGGUUAUGUAAGACAGUUGUGAAAUCCCCGGGCUCAACCUGGGAACUGCAUCUGUGACUGCAUAGCUAGAGUACGGUAGAGGGGGAUGGAAUUCCGCGUGUAGCAGUGAAAUGCGUAGAUAUGCGGAGGAACACCGAUGGCGAAGGCAAUCCCCUGGACCUGUACUGACGCUCAUGCACGAAAGCGUGGGGAGCAAACAGG